GCCGCUUUCAUUAUGAAAAUAUAUUCAAAUAUAGGUUUUUAUACCAAAUAUUAAAUUUUUUUCUCUAAAAAGCAGAGGCUAUAAAUUAUAGACCUAAUUUCCAUGUUUAACCCUUUCAUGUAUUUGUGUGCAAAGAGACCAUGUAACUCAACCCUUUCGAAUAGAGCUAAAGCGCCGGCUGUUGGAAAAUUCAACCCUGCCGAAAUUGGUGUGAUAACUGUAUUGACUUUUUGUUUUUGUGCAGGUUUUCUUUGCGUUUCCUUUACUUCAAUUUGUUUUGUACUUUUUCACUAUUUUUUUGUUUUUUUUGUGGUGAAUUUCCUUUUAUAAUUUUUUGGUACAAAUUCGAUUUUUUCGGCAAUUUUUAAAUUCAAUUUCCAUUUCCAGCAUCCUGUUUGGUUGUUUGCAAGCGCACUAUCGUUUGUUUUGCUUUGUUGUUGCAUAGCUGCGGGCGUUUAUGUUGCUGCUACAUAGUGCUUUGUUGCCUGCCACACGACUAAUUUGGGACAAGCGUGUGUUAUUUCUUGCCAAGUUAGAUUUUUUCUUUGCAACUGUUGGUGACUAAGCAACAGCGACAAGCCUUUACCUUUGCCCCAACAACAAAACAACACAGUGCAACAACGAUGAUGCAGUACAUUUUCCACUUGAGGAAACCGCAAAAACGCCGAAUCUAUGAAAUGAAAAAUGCUCGCAUUGAACCCAAAAAUGUGUUUUAAUUGCGAGUUUUUGCAUAAAAAAUAACAACAAAAUUUGUGUGUUUUCAUGCCGCCCACUGCGCUGCGACCCGCAGGGGAGGCUGUAGCAAUUUGUCUCCUGGGUGUAAUUCAUCAAAAACAACAUCAAAGUUGCUGCAAUUUUUCCGUAUAAAAAAAGCUGGCGUCACGCGCGAAGGGUUAGCAGCGCUUCAAGAAAAUUUCGGUCUGGUCUCGGCGAAUUUCCACUAAAUCAUGUUCUGAUAGGCCUGCGAAGCGUGAAAAAAAUUUCAUUUGACAAAAAAAUUUCAAAUUAAUUUAUAACCCAACUUGACACAGCACUUUUAUACGAAUUCGAUAAGAUGUCGGAACGCUGCUUUCGACAACUUUAAUUUACCAAACAAUAAUGGAAAAUAUUUUGACAAACAACAAACAGCCAUAUGUACAUAAAUACUUGGUAUUUGUAAUUUUUUUGUGAUACAUUAUUUAGCAUAUGUCUCUAUAUACACACUUACAUAUCUACUCACAUAGUAUGUGGUUCAUUUCACUCCUUUAAUUUAUUACGAUUUUUAAUGAGCUCCAACGUGUAUGUUUUAUGUCACUUGCUUUAUAUGUCAUGUAGAAACAUAUACAUAUAUAAUAUAGUCAUAUACACGUAUGUAUGUACAUAUAUACUUAUUUAAAAGGAAGAAAAAAUAAUUGCUCACAUGUUUUCCGCAUCUUCUCACCCAACUGUCUGACCCUGUUGCUGCUGCCUCAAAGCUUUUUUUAUUGCGUUGGAAUCUUGAGAUCUCUUGUUUGUGGUAUGUCUGGAUGGCAGAAACACAUGUGACACUUUUCGAAAAAUCUAAUUUAUCAAUGCACAUACAUACAUACAUAUAUGCAUAAGCUUGACAGUAUCUAUACAUAGAUAUGUAUGGAUUCAAAAUAUGCC
Long non-coding RNA from Bactrocera oleae (olive fruit fly), 1626 nucleotides. RefSeq lists it as uncharacterized. Lineage: Eukaryota; Metazoa; Arthropoda; Insecta; Diptera; Tephritidae. The record is from RefSeq and is a predicted model, not a curated record.